RNAcentral lists this ribosomal RNA (1026 nucleotides) under Nidirana nankunensis. RNAcentral's name for it is "partial 16S ribosomal RNA". It matches the Rfam family "Bacterial large subunit ribosomal RNA", at positions 932 to 2597 of the family's 2925-position model. Lineage: Eukaryota; Metazoa; Chordata; Amphibia; Anura; Ranidae. The record is from RNAcentral.
AGCUCUACCUUAGCUUCCCUAUUACACAAAAAACCCCCCCAAGCUUAAGAGCUAUUCAAGUAGGGCACAGCCUAUUUGAAAUAGGGCACAACCUCUAACACCGGGUAAACAAGGGUAACUUAAGUAAAGUCGGCCUAAGAGCAGCCACCUUUAAAAAAGCGUUAAAGCUUAUCUAUAAACUAUCCUCAAUUUUCUAAAUCCUCAUUAACCCUUCACCACUACUGAACUAUUUUAUAUUUUAUAAAAGCUAUAAUGCUAGAACUAGUAACAAGAAAUAAUCCUUCUCCAAAAUGUAAGCUUACACCAAAACGGACAGCCCAUUGGUAAUUAACGCAAAUGUUAUAGUCACAACAACACACCUCUAGAAAACCCUGUGACCCCCUACGUUACCCUUACACUAGAACAUCUCAGGAAAGAUAAAAAGAGAAAGAAGGAACUCGGCAAAUCCUCAGCCCCGCCUGUUUACCAAAAACAUCGCCUCUUGACCAGAUAUAAGAGGUCCAGCCUGCCCAGUGACAAAGUUCAACGGCCGCGGUACCCUAACCGUGCGAAGGUAGCAUAAUCACUUGUUCUCUAAAUAAGGACCAGUAUCAACGGCAUUACGAGGGCUGUACUGUCUCCUUUCUCCAAUCAGUGAAACUGAUCUCCCCGUGAAGAAGCGGGGAUCAUUAUAUAAGACGAGAAGACCCCAUGGAGCUUUAAACUCAUCAUUCACUUCCUCAUCUCCAUGCCCAAUAUAUAAGGGACCUGUCUGAUAGCUUUAGGUUGGGGGGACCACGGAGUACAAUUUAACCUCCAUGACAAACGGGCUAACACCCUUAUCUAUGAACUACAACUCUAAGAACCAUAAACUGAUGUUUGAUGACCCGACUAUUCGAUCAACGAACCAAGUUACCCUGGGGAUAACAGCGCAAUCUACUUCAAGAGCCCCUAUCGACAAGUAGGUUUACGACCUCGAUGUUGGAUCAGGGUAUCCUAGGGGUGCAGCCGCUCCUAAUGGUUCGUUUGUUCAACGAUUAAAACCCU